Molecule: non-coding RNA, 1814 nt
Organism: Misgurnus anguillicaudatus (oriental weatherfish)
Lineage: Eukaryota; Metazoa; Chordata; Actinopteri; Cypriniformes; Cobitidae
Source: RefSeq, a predicted model, not a curated record
AGAUUGGUCAUCUGGUUUGUCUUCAGGCGUUAUAGCAGGAAUUUGUGUUGUUGUUCUCGGUGUUGUUGCUGCUGCUGCUGUUGUUGGUUUUAUCAUUUACCGCAAAUCUUUUAAGGCUAAUGGGGAGUACAGGCCCACCUCAGGCCCCGUUUGAUUCAAACACUGAUUUACAUGGACCACUUCAUCAAAGAAAUGAGCGGGAAGGUGUAGGCCCCUCCAUAAACAAUGAAGAGACAGGAGAAGAGUCAACAGAGAUGAACAAACCAUUGAGGACUGAAGAUCCCAGCAGCAGUGAUGUUCCUUAAAAGUGUAAUAUCAUCAAUAUUACAAACACAUCAACAUUAUUGAAUUAUAACAUCACUCUCAUUUCAAUGACUUUAAAACCUGUCUGCCUGUAUGCUGAUGAGGAACUGAAAUGGAAGAAAAGCUCAAGACUACUGAAAAACUAAAAAAAUAUAAAGUCAAGUUUAUAGAGUACUUAACAGACACUGUAUACAAUGUACACUAUAUACACACAUGCAUUAACCUUACCUCAUAAUAGAUGAUAUACUACACUGGAAAGACUUUGAAUGUACUAUUUGCUGUUUCAUGCUCAUAUCUGCGUAGCUAUGAUAACUCUGUAUAAUUGCAAUGUAACAGCCUGAAUAAACACAGAUGCAAAUGUAACUAGCAUUACAAAAUGCAAGCUGCCUUAACAUUUUCUUUAAAAUAAGUUUUGACAAUCUGGUGCUACUACUUUGAUAUGUGUGAGAUGGCUUUGUUUAAUUUAAAGAUUUGAUUUAAAAAGUAAAUAAUAACUUUCUUUACACCAGGAGUGGGGAACCCUGGGUCCUGGAGGGCCACUGUCCUGCAGAGUUUAGUUCCAACGCUAAUCAAACACACCUGAAUUUAAUUUCCAAGUGAUCGUGAACAUAGAUAUAAAGGCUAGAUGGCUCGUCCGCGCUGCUGGCCAAUUGAGUGCAACGUCCGCAUUUUGGCGGCCAUCUUAGGACAGGGCGCUCGCUCACUCGUAGCAUUGAGUUUUAAUGAUGCAGGUACUUUUAAAUGACCAUAACUUGCUUAAUUUUUUACCGAUUUUCAAACGGUUUGGUUUGUUAUAAACGUCAAAGAUGUACCUAUGACACUGCAUACCUAUACUAAAAAUAAAAAAUAAAUUCAUGAAACAUGUUAAAGCAUCCAGAAUUAUAGCCACGUUAAUAACGUUUGUAAAAACCCAAACCGUUUGAAAAUCGGUAGAAAAUUGAGCAAGUUAUGGUAAUUUAAAAGUACCUGCACCAUUAAACUCAAUGCUACGAGUGAGCGAGCGCCCUGUCGUAAGAUGGCCGCCAGGUGAUGCCGUUAGGGACUCCGCCUUGAGCCAUCUAGCCUUUAUACAUAUCUAUGAUCGUGAAGACUUGAAUUCGAUUUUUCAGGUGUGUUUAAUUAGGGUUGGAACAAAACUCUGCAGGACAGUGGCCCUCCAGGACCAGGGUUCCCCACCCCUGCUUUACACCAACUCUAAGCUAUGUUUUUAUUAUUUGGGUACAGUUUUUAGUUUUAAACAACUUUAAAAGAAUUAUUACGGUACUUGUAUUUUCUCAAUCAUUGAAGCACUUUGUAAAUUAAAAUUUAAAGUCCGGGGUUUUUUUUGUGUGUUUUUUCUUUCUUUUAUUUUGUGAAUGUAAAAACUGUUUAACAGAUCACUUGAGAUGACUGAACCUCAAUUAAAUCUCUGUUCUGAUCUCAGUGUGUACUUUUUUGAACAGUGUGUUUGUUGGCAUUAAUUCAUUUGUUAUAUUAAUUGUGUGUUAAAAAUAAAAGCUGGGUUAAGUGAA